UGCAGUCGAGCGGUAGAGAGAAGCUUGCUUCUCUUGAGAGCGGCGGACGGGUGAGUAAUGCCUAGGAAUCUGCCUAGUGGUGGGGGAUAACGUUCGGAAACGGACGCUAAUACCGCAUACGUCCUACGGGAGAAAGCGGGGGAUCUUCGGACCUCGCGCCAUUAGAUGAGCCUAGGUCGGAUUAGCUAGUUGGUGAGGUAAUGGCUCACCAAGGCGACGAUCCGUAACUGGUCUGAGAGGAUGAUCAGUCACACUGGAACUGAGACACGGUCCAGACUCCUACGGGAGGCAGCAGUGGGGAAUAUUGGACAAUGGGCGAAAGCCUGAUCCAGCCAUGCCGCGUGUGUGAAGAAGGUCUUCGGAUUGUAAAGCACUUUAAGUUGGGAGGAAGGGCAAUAACCUAAUACGUUAUUGUUUUGACGUUACCGACAGAAUAAGCACCGGCUAACUUCGUGCCAGCAGCCGCGGUAAUACGAAGGGUGCAAGCGUUAAUCGGAAUUACUGGGCGUAAAGCGCGCGUAGGUGGUUCAGUAAGUUGGAAGUGAAAUCCCCGGGCUCAACCUGGGAACUGCUUUCAAAACUGCUGAGCUAGAGUACGGUAGAGGGUGGUGGAAUUUCCUGUGUAGCGGUGAAAUGCGUAGAUAUAGGAAGGAACACCAGUGGCGAAGGCGACCACCUGGACUGAUACUGACACUGAGGUGCGAAAGCGUGGGGAGCAAACAGGAUUAGAUACCCUGGUAGUCCACGCCGUAAACGAUGUCAACUAGCCGUUGGAAUCCUUGAGAUUUUAGUGGCG
RNAcentral lists this ribosomal RNA (796 nucleotides) under Pseudomonas sp. 9AK. RNAcentral describes it as "bacterial SSU rRNA". It matches the Rfam family "Bacterial small subunit ribosomal RNA", at positions 56 to 848 of the family's 1533-position model. Lineage: Bacteria; Pseudomonadati; Pseudomonadota; Gammaproteobacteria; Pseudomonadales; Pseudomonadaceae. The record is from RNAcentral.